This 426-nucleotide ribosomal RNA is filed under the name uncultured bacterium. RNAcentral describes it as "bacterial SSU rRNA". It matches the Rfam family "Bacterial small subunit ribosomal RNA", at positions 356 to 774 of the family's 1533-position model. The record is from RNAcentral.
GGGGAAUUUUGGACAAUGGGCGCAAGCCUGAUCCAGCAAUGCCGCGCGCAGGAUGAAGGCCUUCGGGUUGUAAACUGCUUUUGUACGGAGCGAAAAGGUCUGCCCUAAUACGGUGGGCUCAUGACGGUACCGUAAGAAUAAGCACCGGCUAACUACGUGCCAGCAGCCGCGGCAAUACGUAGGGUGCGAGCGUUAAUCGGAAUUACUGGGCGUAAAGCGUGCGCAGGCGGUUAUAUAAGACAGAUGUGAAAUCCCCGGGCUCAACCUGAGACCUGCAUUUGAGACUGUAUAGCUAGAGUACGGUAGAGGGGGAUGGAAUUCCGCGUGUAGCAGUGAAAUGCGUAGAUAUGCGGAGGAACACCGAUGGCGAAGGCAAUCCCCUGGACCUGUACUGACGCUCAUGCACGAAAGCGUGGGGAGCAAACA